CUGUAAAUAGAAAUCUUCAUAUAUAUAUAUAGUGGAUGUGACCAUGAUUGCUAGAGAAUCUAAAAUAAGGAACAUUGCUUUUAAGAGAGAGAGAGAGAGAGAGAGAGAGAGAGAGAGAGAGAGAGAGAGAGAGAGAGAGAGAGAGCUGUGAACCACAGGCAUGUGUGUAACUUUAAUCAGUGGUUCUCUGUGGAAGUGAGGCAGACGUUAUGCUAUUGUGACUGGGGAGAUGGCUCAGCAUGAACAGCACUGGCUGUGCCAGCUUAAGGAACCAGGUCUGGAUUUCCAUAACUAAUGGCAAAGCUGGAUGUAGGCAGCAUGAGGCCCUAAAAUCUCAGCACAGCUAGACUAAGGGAGCAGGCAGAGACGGGAGAAUUCCCUGAAGUUCCGGCUCUGGCCUACACAGAGGGGAACAACAGAUCUCAUCUCAAACAAGUCAAGGCAUCAUUGUACUGAAACAACAUCAAGGCAAAGCAUUGGACCACCAGGUGUCUCAGGCUAGCUCAUGCUGAUAAAAGAUGUGGAGGCAAGUAAGGAAGCACGAGAUUGACUCACAGGAACCACAGACCUUUCAUUUUCUGAGCCUGUUCUUCCCAGGAUCUGUUGCUGAUGACAAUACCAGGAGAGCAGAGUUUCAGAAGACCCACGGGGCUUGGCCCACUGCCUGGGAAGAGGCAUAGCCAGCCUGGGAAUUGAUUUGAAUGUAAUGAACCUUCUGUCUCAUCUGGUACUUUCAGAAGAAUUUGCAGAGUCAAUAGAUGUGGAGCUACCUCUCCAGCCUUCUGUCUGCCUGCAGGUGUCUAUGCGUCCCACCAUGAUGACACUGUACUAAACCUCUGAAACGGUAACUGUAAACUUCCCAUCUCCCGCCCCCAUUUCUACCACGGAGCCACGGAGUUUCCACUGAGUUUCUAUACAGACCUUCAGCUUCGGGAAGAAAAUCCCCAGACUGGAACUCUGAGACAAGAAGCCAUGGUGUAGAUUAAGAUGGAGGAGCAGAUGUUGGAGACACACAUCCCAGUUCCUCUCCAGUUUCGGUGCAGAUGACUCAGUGGCGACAUGAGGCACUCCGUGGGCUGCAUAGGUCUGAUGACAUCACACUGAUCUGAAAAUCCAAGUUGUAGGUCUCCAUGUUCUGAGAGAUGAAUGUGGAAGAGGAUUGAAGAUGGUAAAGACUGAAGGAAAUGAUCUGAAGUCAACGGGACAGUGGGUCCAGUAAUCUGAGCGUUCAGUUGGAGGCUGGAGAAUGGCAUCAGAGGGAGCUCGGUCAUUUUUUUGUCCCGGUUGUUCUCUACCCCAAUGAGACCAGGCAUCUGUCAUUUCUCUGAUCCACAGAACAAUGUGCCACAAAGGUUGUCACCAUGAUAGCUCUGGCGUCUGGCUGAAGUGCUGACAUUCAGCAUGCAUUUUCUGAACUGCGCUACUUUCCAAUGAAUUCAGGCUGCCAGUUGGAAGGGGACGACCAGUGGAAGAAGCCAGGCAGAUUGGGGAAGGUGUGAAGGCUAGAUCUCCCAACUAAGCAUGCAGGCUUCCAGAACUCAGGGAAGAAAGUGAGAUUUGGCAUAUCAGAACAAAUGGAAUUUGUGGGAGAACUCUCAGAGUGAUGAGCUCUCUGUCUGGAAACAUUACAGUGGACCCCGCUUAAAAUAUCCCCACAAAGCAGCUCUAUCUAUGGUAUUUGCUGAAUAUAAAGUCAGAUGGGAAAUGUAAGCCAUUACUAAAGCUGUCCUUGGCCCCACAUCCACCAUAAGAUGUCCUCCUCAUCCCUAUCAUCUCCAGAAAGGAGAUAGAUAAUUUUGACUGUCUUAUUACCAUGGCACUGGCCACUCAGUCUAUGUUUUCUCCCAUUAGCUUGUCUCAGUUUGGCUUCCUCUGUGGCAGCUUCACGGAGGCAGGGACUGGUGAGAUGUCUCAGUGGGUAAAAUUGUCUGCCAUCAAGCCUGAGGACCUGAGUUCAAUCCCCAGCACCCACUUGUUGGAAGGAGAAAACCCACUCCCAAGAGUGGUUCUCUGACCCUCUAGUACAUGCUAAGUCAUGUGUGUUCCCAUGACAUAACAUGUAUGGGCACACACACACACACACACACACACACACACACACACACACACACAGGGGAAAAGGAGAAAACUGUCUGAAACUCACUGUAAAUUGUUACCAGUGUUCUAAAAAACCUAGUAGUUCUUGAGCAUCAACCUCUUAGGAACUGAAGUUGUAUUCAUAGAACCAACCAAAACUUUUGUUAUAAUACUUUUAUUUCCUUGCUACACAUUGCAAUUUCUCCCCAUGGGAGUACUUCUGUUUGCCUGCCAAGCUGAAGGUCUCAGGCUUCUUGGAGCAAACAUUCUCCAGGUGAUUGCAUCCAUCCCUUGCAGGGGAACACUUUUGUCAGCAAAUUCACACAUGCACCUCAGGGAGGACAGACUACGUCAGCUGUGGAUGGAGCUCUGUUCUAAGUGUCUCUGCCACCUCUCCCUUUGACUCUCACAAAGACGUUUCACCCUCCAUCCUCCCAACCUUGUUCAUUUACUCUCAAAAUCUUUUUUCACCAUCUUUACAAUUUUCUUGAUAUCAGUGAAUGCUCACUGUGCUGAAAUUACAAGCCAUCCGUGACACCCCUUCCCUACCAGUCCAUCUCUGUCCACCACUGGAUCUACUGUCCGCAUCAUUCACACAGAACAUCUGACCAAGUGACUGCUCUUCUUUAGUCCACUGUUCAAAGCUUGUAGGAUUAAUCUUUAUAAAACAUAACACAUUGAACGCGAUCACGGUACUGAAAGCCUCCUCGUAGGUCUCUUUAGUAUUAAACUCUUACCUCGCUCUUCGACUUGCUUGUCUUUUCCUUUUCUACUCAAUCUCAUUGUAAACUCUGUAAACUUCUGUAGUGCCAUUCCCUUCCUUAUCAACUGGUUUGUGAUCAAUAUUCCCCACUGUCAUUCAUGGGAAACCUUUUUAUUUUUAUCUACAAUAUUCUUCCUUCUGUUUCUCAUUGAGAUGUCAACUUGAAUUCCCUAUAGCCUGGCAAGAGAUGACAAGGUCAUAAGCAUUUGUGUCUCUGCUCGGUCCUGUGUAUCUAAGUAGAUUACAUGAUAAAUUCUCAUUAGAACAUUGGAAGCAUGCAUGAAAUCAUCUAUAGGUGACUUGGGAUCCUUCCCUGCCACACCCAGAUGUGUCUUCCUUUACCUCAGCAUGUGAGCUGGUAACCAUGGACUCUUAUUUUCUCAGACAUUCAAUUUGAAAGGCUCUCUGACAGUUUCUAAUAAGCUACACUUUGGUAUUUUUCUCUGUGUGACUGAAUGCAAAGAACAUGCUAGAGUGAAGCUUCAAUAGGAGAACUUCUAUAUCUCAGGGUCAAACCUUGAUACAGACCCAUGGAAAAGAACUGCGGGGUAGUGUUGUCUGGUAGCUAUGAAGAAGGAGGAAAUCAUGCAACUUGUGUGGGUUCUGCUCUGUGGCCCUGCUUGAAAUGAUGAAGAUAUAACUUCUCAAAUGCUUCUUGCUCAUGACAUGAAUUAGUACAAAAUUUCAAUGGAUUUUUCUGAGAUAGGAGUGUUUACAUGUUAACUUAUUAUAGCCUGUUCUGUUUUGAAUAGCAUAAUAUCUCACAUAAAUGCUUCUUUAUCCAGCCUUCCCAUUUAUUCUCAUUGAGCCUAUCACACUAUUAUCAAUUUGAAACCUUUACAUGUUUUCCGCCAGACAUUGACUUAUUUUAUUUGCUUGCUUUCAUGAAUCGCAAGUCAAACUCCAUCCUGACAGGUUCCUUGCCUCUUGAAUAGCAGACAGUGCCUGCGUGUAGACCAUGCUCAAUAGCCGUCUGUGGAAUGAAUGGACAGCUACAGCAGAGAAACUGUACUUACAAACACAGCAUGCUUUCAGUGAACGAUGGCUGACUGGAGAAGCUCCUUCUUAUGUUACCCGGAGUUGCUCACUCUGUUGAGCAACAUUGCCUGCAUGCGGAGGGGUGCACCUUACUUGGGAACGAGAAUCAGAACUCACACCUCUUCCUUUGUAUCUAGAAUCUAGAUUCAUUUUAGUAUUAGUCACCAAACCACAAAUCUCACCAUAGCUAUGUUGGGGAUAAUUUGUGAUUCUUUUAUGUGUCAUCUAGCAUACAAGGUAUUAGAUGUCAUUGCGGCAUCAGUGCCUUUUACUGUAUUCUCCUCACAAAGCCCCACUAGCUCCUCUAAUCCCUGUCUGCCACCUGUUUGUUACUUGCUCUCCAGUUUCCUUUCACUGUAAUGUGGCCUAUUGUCUCCCCUCCACUAUCAUUUUGUGCAUUUUGGGGGCCUCUUUUCUAUGUUUUUUAGGCUUUAUCCACAUUUAUAACAUGGAAUCACCUUGCCGGGCGGGUUAUGUUUGGAUUACAUCUGAAAUUUCGCAUUGAUCCAGAGGUUGAUUGGGAAGUUUUACUUACUUAGCUGAUUGAGGGAACUGGUCACGUUUGCUCCAUUUUAAGCCUUGUCGUUUGUCUCUAGGUUCAGUCCUGUAAUUAUUUAAGUCAAGAAACUCUGGGUUUUUUUGUUAGUCAUUCUUCAGUCUUCGUUUCUGUUAUGAUGAAAAAAAUACCCUGACAAAAAGCAACCCAGGAUAGAAAGGGUAUCUCUUAGCUUACAGUUCCCAGCCUCUGAUCAACAUAGCAGGGUCAUUGACGCAGCAAGAACUUAAAAUGUUCUGAUGCAUAACAUCCAAAGUCAAGAGGAGAACAAAAUGAAUGCAUAGAUAAUUGCUUGCUUGAUUACACAUAGUUCAGUUUUCACAUUCUUACACAGUUCAGGACUUCUUGUCUAGGGAAUGUUGCUACCCAUAGUAGGCGGGGUCUUUCUACAUCAAUUAACUUAAGAUGACCUCCCACAGACAUGCUCAGUGACCAACGUAGUGUAGGUAACUCUCAUCGAGACUCUCUUCUCAGGCGGUACUAGGUUGCAUUAAGUUGACAUUUAAAGUCGUCAUAAUCAUUGUUUGACAGCAUGCUCUAUUAAUUAGCUGUCUUUAUCUCUGAUGUUGGGCAGUACUUUUUACAAAUGACCACAGCUCUCUUUCCCUGCCAGCAUCUGUGACCUAGGUGAUAUGGCUGUGUAGCCUCCCCAAAGAGGUGAAACUUAUUUCUGCUCUUCUGAGCAGAUCAUAUGACUUGUUUUGAGUAGUGGAAAGUGGCAAAACAAAGUUGUGAGAAUUGUGAGUCUGGGAUUCAAGAUGCCUUGUAAGUUUGUGAUUCCUUUCUAGUUUUGGUGUGACCAAGUAUGGUAUAGCCUGUUAGGACACCCAGGGUAUCCUACUGUUGGGGCAUCUAGUAAUCAACCAAUCUGACAGUGGUUUGUAGAUGUAGAAUUGAAUGCAACCAAGACCAUAGAGUUACCCUAAUGAACUCACCCUAUGCAGUUUACCUGUAGCUGUAAUAAAGGGCUGUGCAUUAAAGACAAUGCUUUGUAGUGGUUUAGUUAAUUAUCUUUAUUAAUCAGAAGUGAACCAGUUCACCAAAUGGCUGUGUAGUGACAUGUGGCUUUCUUGACUCCUUUAGGCUCAUCUUUCACCCUUCCCUCCCUCC
Mus musculus (house mouse) is the source of this 5543-nucleotide long non-coding RNA. RefSeq annotates it as predicted gene, 36251. NCBI's taxonomy places the organism in Eukaryota, Metazoa, Chordata, Mammalia, Rodentia, Muridae. The record is from RefSeq and is a predicted model, not a curated record. The transcript is spliced from 7 exons.